Molecule: microRNA, 22 nt
Filed under: Oreochromis niloticus (Nile tilapia)
Lineage: Eukaryota; Metazoa; Chordata; Actinopteri; Cichliformes; Cichlidae
Description: oni-miR-10577
Source: miRBase by way of RNAcentral
AUGAGGAAAAGAAGUUAGGAGA